CCAGUGGAAGUAAAAGUCGUAACAAGGUUUCCGUAGGUGAACCUGCGGAAGGAUCAUUGUCGGAACCCUGCCCCGCAGAACGACCCGCGAACCAGUUUCUCCACGGGCACGGGGGGAGCACUCGCCCCCCUCGGCCAGCCGCUGGGAGCGGCCCGUGCGGUCGCUGCCCUCGCCGCACGAACAAAACCCCGGCGCCGGACGCGCCAAGGACCCACGAAAGAAAAAGAGCACGCCCGAUCGGCCCGGGAACGGGGCGAGGGGCGUGGCAUCUUUCGCUAUGAGCGGAAAAA
Molecule: ribosomal RNA, 290 nt
Filed under: Casearia gladiiformis
Lineage: Eukaryota; Viridiplantae; Streptophyta; Magnoliopsida; Malpighiales; Salicaceae
Rfam family: Eukaryotic small subunit ribosomal RNA (bases 1-59)
Source: RNAcentral